CCUACGGGAGGCUGCAGUGAGGAAUAUUGGUCAAUGGGCGGGAGCCUGAACCAGCCAAGUCGCGUGAGGGAAGACGGUCCUAUGGAUUGUAAACCUCUUUAGGCGGGGAGCAAUGCCGGGCACGCGUGCCCGGAGGGAUAGUACCCGCAGAAUAAGCAUCGGCAAACUCCGUGCCAGCAGCCGCGGUAAUACGGAGGAGGCGAGCGUUAUCUGGUUUUAUUGGGUUAAAGGGGUGCGAAGGCGGAUUUUUAAGUCAGCGGUAAAAUGUCCGGGCUCAACCCGGGCCGGCCGUUGAAACUGGGGAUCUUGAGUGGGCGAGAGGUAUGCGGAAUGCGUGGUGUAGCGGUGAAAUGCAUAGAGAUCACGAAGAACUCCGAUUGCGAAGGCAGCAUACCGGAGCACGACUGACGCUGAGGCACGAAAGCGUGGGGAUCGAACAGGAUUAGAUACCCGAGUAGUC
RNAcentral lists this ribosomal RNA (460 nucleotides) under uncultured bacterium. Its description in RNAcentral is "partial 16S ribosomal RNA". It matches the Rfam family "Bacterial small subunit ribosomal RNA", at positions 338 to 795 of the family's 1533-position model. The record is from RNAcentral.